This 3078-nucleotide non-coding RNA is filed under the name Pongo abelii (Sumatran orangutan). Lineage: Eukaryota; Metazoa; Chordata; Mammalia; Primates; Hominidae. The record is from RNAcentral.
GCGAGGUCGCUGGCCGAGGACCAGGCGCGGGAGCGGGAGCGGGCGACUGGCCUGGCCCUCCCGGUCUCGACAGCCAGUUCUAGCUCCCGGCCCAGCCAGGAGACGCAGGUGCCACGGAGAUGGGCAGCCGGGCGGGUGGCGCAGUGCAGGCAGCUGUAUCAAUCGCUUCCCCUCCAGGGACCCGCCGGUGCCUGGGGACCGCGGGCUGUGCAGCUGUGCCGGGCCUGCGGAGGCCGCCGCCUGGGAGCUGGGAGGCAGGGAGCGCGUGGUCCAGAGCCGCUCUCGACCUGGCCUGGUCGGUCCUGGCCCGGCAUAGGUGACGAUGGCGGGGACCGCGAGGCGCCGGACACCCGAGGCCGCGAGCAGCGUCGCCCCUCGCUUUUUCGCGCCCCUCCAGCUCUGCAGUCCUUCCUCUAACUCCGUCUGCCCCUCACCGAUUGAAAGUGGCCCCGAGAAUAUUGGAUGAGUGAUCUGGUGUCAGGACUGUAAAAUACGCCUAUGAAAACUGGGGGAGAGGAAUAAAACAAGCUGGCAGAACGUUUUUCAUCGUUGAAGCUGCGUGAUGCGAGCAUAUGCGCUCAUCAUACAGUCUCUUGUGUAUCUGAAAUUUUCCAUAAUAAAAAGUUUAAAGAAGUGAACCAAUGAUUGCCUCUAGGGAGGACAGUGAGGUGGCGGAUGACGGGAGGAAGGAGUCUUAAUUUUUCGCUGUACGCCUUUCUGUGCUCUUAGGUUUUUCCCAUUCAAUGUGUUACCUAAUUCAGAAAAUUGGUAAGUUUUUUUUAAGGCUACCAUGGGAAAACCGCGUUCUAAAGAGUAGCGCAACCAGUUCCCCGUAAGAGAGGUGCAUGAUUCGUCGGACUCGAACAGCCUUGGUGUUUGUUAGGCGGUUAAUGGAGACCCACCUGGGAAAUUAGAAAACAACUAAUUGCUUUCAGUGAGAAGCCCGCCCUUCUCCCACAAAUGGAUAAUUUGCUUUUAAUGCACACAGAAGUUAUCCAGCUCCCUCCGGUAUAAUCGGGGAAACUCCAAAUAAAGGAAAAAUAGUUCAGAGACCCUGCAGCUCUUCCCAAGAGGAAUUUAAGGUGGAUUUUAGUGUGGUUGGAUUGUUUUGCCUACCUGACUGCAGAAUUUAUAUUCUGACAUUUACAAUUUCCUAAAUACUGAAUCAGUAUUUUUUCUUGUUUCAAAAUAAAUCAACUUCUUCUAUAGUUUAUAUGAAUAACAAGUCCAUGUCUUCCAAUGUGGGUGGGAUGCACAUGACUGUUUUAUUUGGGUCAGUUUUGUCUCUUUUUUUUAAUUGGCAGUUGUAGGAACUUGUUUUUAUCAUUUUGUUUAAAGAUCUUCUGGCAGAGGUGCAGGCUGCACUUACUAUAAUUAUUUAGAUGACAAGGUGGUGGGUGGUAAUUAAAGGGUAAUUAUCAUCAGAGGCAAAAGGUAAGAUCAAAAAGCCAGAAGAGGUGAGGAGACAAUUGCAAGACCUUCCCGUAGGAGGGUGUUGUGAUCCUCCCAAGACCAAAGGAUAUGUCUAUUAUGCCUGGCCUCUCUAGUGCUGGACAUUUGGCAGGGUCAGUGCCUGCAUGAAGCUGAAGUGGAAGGGCUUUUUGUUUAGACUGGUGCCUUUUGAGGGCUUUUGUGUGAUGGUUGUGUUAAGUAAUGAAACUUAGUAGUGUCAAAUUCUUGCCACUCAAAGAAUGAUCCCCCAUCAGCAGUGUAGCAUCACCUGGAAGCCUGUAAGGAACGCGUAAUUCCUAUCCUCACCCCACCUCCACUGAAUCAGAACCUGCAUUUUAACAGGAAUCCCCCAGCUGAUUGGGCCGCACAUUAAAGUUUGACAAGCACUGAUUUAAAGUAUACCCAUAGCAUUUGACAGCAAUCUAGUAUUUUUCGUUAGGAUGAGGGAGAGGAAGGGAGAUGAUUAAGAACCUCCUAUACAUCAGGUAAGAUGCAUAGGCUGUUCAGGAGCCUUGUCUGCUGCCCGGUCUGUUACUCUAUCUUACAAGUAAGGAAAUGGGAAGACUUGUAUGUUGCAACUAAUGAGGGAGUCAAACUUUUUCUUAACGGUUGGAUACCCGUUAGUACUUGUUGGUGUUCUUGAAUCUGGUAGAAAGUGGUACAUGAUUUGAGAAGUAAACAAGUGUGUGUGUGUGUGUGUGUGUGUGUGUGUGUGUGUGUGUGUGUGUGUGUGUAUUUAGUCUGUGGAAGCUUAGUAUAUGAAUAUUAAGCAGAGCUCUUCUGGGCUCUGUACCCUUGUGUGGCUCACACUAAAGACACCCCUCCGGCCCCUCCUGGAGGGAGUUCAGACUCCUGGCCCUGCAGGCUGUACCACCACCUUAACCCCUUACCUCCCUGCUUCCACUGAGGCAGGCAAAUGCCCUGAAGUUCCCUCAUUCCCUUACCAGGGCCAUGGGUGCCACACCAGAAUGAGCAAACAGGACUCCAGUGUGGGUAACGCAUGGCUGAACAGCUUUUUGUUGUAUUGUUUUUGUUUUCUUAGUUCUCUCAGCUCAGGCUCCACCCUCUGCCCAUCCCCCUGGCCACCCUCAACCCCUAGAGUGGUUGUCUCCAUUUCAUGAGAAUCUUCACACUAACAUCAAGUAGCCAGUAGGUGCUUUUGGUUUUGCUAGAAUGCCUGUGUGCAAGCUCUCAGAUACCUGAUUUUCUUUCCCCCACUGAAUGUUGUUUGUCAGAAACUGAAAUCAUGGAUCGGAGCCAAGUUUGUAGUACCCUUAGGAGGGGCCUCUGCCCUCCUGUGUGCUGCCUGGGUGAGGACAGAACCCCCUAACCUGGAGCUCCACUUGAGUGGGCCCAUACCUGUACUUUCCUCUGAAAAAAGAAAAUCCUACAAAGAAAAUAGAAGACAUCUGUUCUGCCAUUGCCAUGCCCUUGUUCUAGCCCAGACAUGAGAACUGUCAGAAUUGGAGUUACUAAAUAGAACUUUUAGUCUUUUUCUGAUAAUGUGUAGUAAAGUGUAUUACAACUUAUAGAAUUCUAUUUAGGGAACUACAGGUCAGAAACUACCAUAUUGGUAGCAGUCAAUUUUUCUUUGCCAUCGGAUGUGGAAUAAAAUGUUAAAUUGUA